Non-coding RNA from Microcebus murinus (gray mouse lemur), 837 nucleotides. The record is from RefSeq and is a predicted model, not a curated record. NCBI's taxonomy places the organism in Eukaryota, Metazoa, Chordata, Mammalia, Primates, Cheirogaleidae.
UAAGAAACUUCCCCUGGCAUCUUUUUAUUGAGUCAACUGCUGCCACUGUGCCUACCCAGCAAUCCCCGUGUUCCGGGAAGAUGGAACUAUACAGAAAGCAGCUACAAGCAAAGGGAGGUGGGCAAGGUGAGGGAAGCAGUGUAUUUCACAGGCAUUCCCAAACCAUCUCAUCUCUGAGCUGGACUGGACCUUUUGGGAGAGAAGUUUGACCUUUGGAAGAGAAGAUGAAGAGAGUCAGGCUUCUGAAAGAAUCAGCGUUUUAGGGAAGUACCCUGACCACGAUUUCAGAAGUGCUGCCUGCAGACCUCCUUCCACCUUUGGCCCGCAACUGUAGGGUGCAUUUUAGGUCUCAAAGUUCUCUGGAAUCGCAUUGCUUGGUUCUGGCUCCAUCUCCACCUGUCACUCGCUGCAAUCUUGGACAAAUUCCUUAACCUCUCUGGGUCGUCCAUCAUAACAACCUUGCAAGGUUGGUAUGUAUUACAGGGAAUAAAUCAUGGAAAGUGCUGGCACAUGGUCAGCACUCGACUGAUGUUAGCUGUUACUGUAUGUGUUAGAUCACCUGGUGGUUAUAAGAGCCCAUUUUAUAGAUGAAAUUGGAGCCUUGGAGGGAGGUGUAGCAACAAAGUCAUUUGGACAGCGAUUUACAGAGCUAGAACAGGAACCCAGGUCUGCCUUCUCCUGCAAAGCAUUCUCUACCUCGGUGGACUCUGGUAUCCAGGUGGAGGGCUACCAGCAAGCGGAGAGGGACCACGGACGUGUGAGUGUGUGUGUUUGCAAUAAUGACGGGAAACUUUGCAUUACACUUUGUAUGGGGGGCAAGUUAGUGGUUAACUUCUA